This 464-nucleotide ribosomal RNA is filed under the name uncultured bacterium. Its description in RNAcentral is "partial 16S ribosomal RNA". It matches the Rfam family "Bacterial small subunit ribosomal RNA", at positions 28 to 507 of the family's 1533-position model. The record is from RNAcentral.
GACGAACGCUGGCGGCGUGCUUAACACAUGCAAGUCGAACGGAAAGGCCCUGCUUGCAGGGUACUCGAGUGGCGAACGGGUGAGUAACACGUGGGUGAUCUGCCCUGCACUUCGGGAUAAGCCUGGGAAACUGGGUCUAAUACCGGAUAGGAGCCAUUUUUAGUGUGAUGGUUGGAAAGUUUUUUCGGUGUAGGAUGAGCUCGCGGCCUAUCAGCUUGUUGGUGGGGUAAUGGCCUACCAAGGCGGCGACGGGUAGCCGGCCUGAGAGGGUGGACGGCCACAUUGGGACUGAGAUACGGCCCAGACUCCUACGGGAGGCAGCAGUGGGGAAUAUUGCACAAUGGGCGCAAGCCUGAUGCAGCGACGCCGCGUGGGGGAUGACGGCCUUCGGGUUGUAAACUCCUUUCGCUAGGGACGAAGCUUUUGUGACGGUGCCUAGAUAAGAAGCACCGGCUAACUACGUG